Molecule: long non-coding RNA, 588 nt
Organism: Chenopodium quinoa (quinoa)
Lineage: Eukaryota; Viridiplantae; Streptophyta; Magnoliopsida; Caryophyllales; Amaranthaceae
Exons: 2
Source: RefSeq, a predicted model, not a curated record
GGGUUGGUUUCAGGUCGGGUCAACCCGAACCCCACCCAUAUAACCCUAUAUUAGUAAAAUGAUAUUAGGCCUUAGUAUUUUUAUUUGGACAAAGCCCAACCUAUGUCAAAUCCUAUAGAGUACAAAAAACCCAAAAAGUGAAAACCCUAUUUUUUUCUAGUCAUUUUCCCACUUGUUCAGCCGUUUUCAUCUCUAUUUUCCCAUCUUAUUCUCUCACCUCUCUCUUUUUUCUCUAUCUAGCUUGUUUAUCAAAAUUGCAACUUCAAACUUGUUUAUCUUCAAAUUUUUCGCCUACUAAGGUGAAUGAUGAAGCCAAUACACCAAGCCCAUUUGAGAGCGCACCUCAAAGUCAGUAGCAAGACUAGCAACUAGUCAAACCUGAUGAAGUUUUCCAAGAUCUAAUUUUUAUUUUGUUGGGAAUAUUGCCUCCUUAAGACAUUGAUUUUGAUUUUGGACUGUACUGUAAAUUAUUAUAUGUAAACUAUGGUUAGUUUUACUUGAAUGUAUUUUUAUUAUGCUUAAAUUGAUAGGUUUGUACAGCAAAGUUUUAUGCAAAAUAACAAGUUAAAUAUACGACUUUUUUUUUUA